RNAcentral lists this non-coding RNA (171 nucleotides) under Cupriavidus metallidurans. Lineage: Bacteria; Pseudomonadati; Pseudomonadota; Betaproteobacteria; Burkholderiales; Burkholderiaceae. The record is from RNAcentral.
UGGGUGUCGUGACCGUCACGCCGUCCGCAGUUGCCGUCGUCAAUGAAUUGCCGGGUCGUCUCGAGGGUGUGCGCACCGCCGAGGUGCGUGCCCGCGUGGAAGGUAUCGUCCUGUCGCGCAAUUACACCGAAGGCGGUGAAGUGAAGGCCGGUCAGGUGCUGUUCCGCAUCG